AACGAACGCUGGCGGCGCGCCUAAUACAUGCAAGUCGAGCGAGAAGGUGUAGCAAUACACUUGUAAAGCGGCGAACGGGUGAGGAAUGCAUGGGUAACCUACCCUCGAGUGGGGAAUAACUAGCCGAAAGGUUAGCUAAUACCGCAUACGUUUCCGGAACUUCGGUUUCGGAAAGAAAGCAAUACCGUGGGUAUUGCGCUCCUGGAUGGGCUCAUGUCCUAUCAGCUUGUUGGUGAGGUAACGGCUCACCAAGGCUUCGACGGGUAGCUGGUCUGAGAGGACGAUCAGCCACACUGGCACUGCGACACGGGCCAGACUCCUACGGAGGCAGCAGUAAGGAAUAUUGCGCAAUGGACGAAAGUCUGACGCAGCGACGCCGCGUGGGGGAGUGAAGGUCUUCGGAUUGUAAACCCCUUU
RNAcentral lists this ribosomal RNA (417 nucleotides) under uncultured bacterium. Its description in RNAcentral is "bacterial SSU rRNA". It matches the Rfam family "Bacterial small subunit ribosomal RNA", at positions 29 to 436 of the family's 1533-position model. The record is from RNAcentral.